AGUUUACUGUAUUUUGUCGUGUAGCGUACCAUACUACUUGUGUUCAUUCCAACAUCAACAUACUUCUUAAUGGAGAAGGAGAUCAACAACAACAACAGAGAAAAGAACAAGAAGAACAUAAACAGGAAUAUGAGCAAGAAAUGAGAGGAAGGAGUGGGGAUUUACCUUUCUACAAUGAGAUGAGAAGCAACCGCAUUAUGUCACAGAUUUAGAGCACGAAGUGAUGACCUACAAUUCGCCGCGCUAAGCCUCCUCUUUAAUUUCUCAAUUAUCCUGAUCGUCAUCGCUGUUGACACGUUAUCAAUUAUGUCAGCUUAACAGACCGCAAAAAUGUCAUUUGGCAACAGAAAUGUCAUCAAUCAUUACGAUCUUUGUAGGUCGGUGAGAUUGAAUGAGGAUUCAUACUGCAAAUAAAUAGCCUAGUAUAACCCCGGUUUUGGAACGUAAGGUGGUGUGACAAAAUGGCAAUGUAAAUUAAAAGCUAGUUCUUCU
This 492-nucleotide unclassified non-coding RNA is filed under the name Nilaparvata lugens (brown planthopper). RNAcentral's name for it is "uncharacterized LOC120353828, transcript variant X1". The record is from RNAcentral. Lineage: Eukaryota; Metazoa; Arthropoda; Insecta; Hemiptera; Delphacidae.